RNAcentral lists this ribosomal RNA (253 nucleotides) under uncultured bacterium. RNAcentral describes it as "partial 16S ribosomal RNA". It matches the Rfam family "Bacterial small subunit ribosomal RNA", at positions 524 to 776 of the family's 1533-position model. The record is from RNAcentral.
UACGUAGGGGGCUAGCGUUGUCCGGAAUCAUUGGGCGUAAAGCGCGUGUAGGCGGCCCGGUAAGUCCGCUGUGAAAGUCGGGGGCUCAACCCUCGGAUGCCGGUGGAUACUGUCGGGCUCGAGUACGGAAGAGGCGAGUGGAAUUCCUGGUGUAGCGGUGGAAUGCGCAGAUAUCAGGAGGAACACCGAUGGCGAAGGCAGCUCGCUGGGACGGUACUGGCGCUGAGGCGCGAAAGCGUGGGGAGCGAACAGG